UACGGGAGGCAGCAGUGGGGAAUAUUGCACAAUGGGCGAAAGCCUGAUGCAGCUAUGCCGCGUGUAUGAAGAAGGCCUUAGGGUUGUAAAGUACUUUCAUCGGGGAGGAAAAAACAAAACUAAUAAUUUUAUUUCUUGACGUUACCCGAAAAAGAAGCACCGGCUAACUCCGUGCCAGCAGCCGCGGUAAUACGGAGGGUGCUAGCGUUAAUCAGAAUUACUGGGCGUAAAGAGCACGUAGGUGGUUUUUUUAAAGUCAGAUGUGAAAUCCCUGGGCUUAACCUAGGAACUGCAUUUUGAAACUGAAAUACUAGAGUAUCGUAGAGGGAGGUAGAAUUCUAGGUGUAGCGGUGAAAUGCGUAGAUAUCUGGAGGAAUACCUGUGGCGAAAAGCGGCCUCCUAAACGAAUACUGACACUGAGGUGCGAAAAGCGUGGGGAGCAAACAGGGAUUAGAUACC
Molecule: ribosomal RNA, 459 nt
Filed under: uncultured bacterium
Lineage: Bacteria
Description: bacterial SSU rRNA
Rfam family: Bacterial small subunit ribosomal RNA
Source: RNAcentral